CCAAACUUUAAUUCAAUUUCCACCAUUUUUGAUGAUUUUUCAAAGUUAUACUAAUGCUGCUGCCCACAACUGUUUUAAGGUCACUCAUUCAUUAAUUCUUGGUGUUCACUUUCAUUUAUAUACACUUACACCAAAGCAUAUUAUAUCUUGGCACACAACAAUCAAGUGAUCAUAAACACAUCUUACUCGUUUGCAUCCUUAUCAAUAAUGCAUCAUAAUCUGAGCACAUUAUUUAUGAAUCUCAUAUACAUACCUGUGCCUAGUCAUNNNNNNNNNNNNNNNNNNNNNNNNNNNNNNNNNNNNNNNNNNNNNNNNNNNNNNNNNNNNNNNNNNNNNNNNNNNNNNNNNNNNNNNNNNNNNNNNNNNNUAUCACCCCGUAUGCGUAAGCCUCUCACAUAUCCUACUCUUACUUAUCUUGAGCAUACUCCUUGAAUUUCCCGUUGAACUACUUGUAAUAUUAGAGAUGUUCGAGAUAUCUCGUACACCUGGUAGGACGCCAAUGCCAUAUCCCAGAUAUGGUCUUACAUGGGAUCACAUCUCGGUGCCGAUGCCAUGUCCCAGACAUGGUCUUACACUGGCACUCAAAACUAAUCUCGAGCCGAUGCCAUGUCCCAGACAUGGUCUUACACUGACUCUCAUCUCGAGCCGAUGCCAUGUCUCAGACAUGGUCUUACACUGACUCUCAUCUCGAGCCGAUGCCAUGUCCCAGACAUGGUCUUACACUGGCACACUCACUGCCAUGGUCCAACCAUGGUCUUUUCUGUCAAUUCAUUACGAGUUGUAGUACGAAUGUACUUGACCCUGCAUUUCUCACGAUUGAUCCUUCAAUCUAAUCUCGUACUUGCAUAAAGUCAUGAUUAGAUAACAAAUUUAUAUAAAAUAAUACAUCAUCUCAAUUCAAAUUUAAUAAUCGAUCACUAUAAACUAACUAUACGAACUUACACAUUCUCGUAACAUUAUCGAAUACUCAAUGUUUCAUACACUAAUUGCCAUCGUAUAGCUGAAGCUAUCAUAAUCUCGCACACUAAGUGCCUUACAUAGCCGAAGCUAUCUCGGUCUCGCACACUAAAUGUCAUAAAUAGCCGAAGCUAUUCCAAAUCGCACACUACGUGCCAUAAAUAGCCGAAGCUAUCUCGAAUUUCAUAUUAAGUGCUAAACAUAGCCGAUUUAUCAUUAAACGUGACUGUAUUCUCGUGUAUACAAUUUAUGCAACAACAAAGCAUUAAAAACAUAAUUGUAACAAUGAUUAACGCGUACGAACUUACCUCAACGCGAGUCGAUUAUUUUGAUUGACAUUUCCCCGUAUUUGGUCCAAAUCUCGAUUUCUUUGAUCUAAAAUGUCACAUUUCACUUAAUUAUCACUCACAUUACUCAUUUUAAUACAAAAAUCAUACUACGGAAAAUUUACAAUUUUACCCCUAAACUUUCUCAUAAUUACAAUUUUACCCCUAGGCUCGUAAUAUGAUUUUUAUUCAAUUUCCAUAAAAUUCAAGGUCAGCCAAACCUUUUUCUCUUCUAAAGCAACCUCAAAUUAUUAUUAUUUACAACUUUUAGGAGCAUUUACAACUUUUACUAAUUAACCCGUUUUAACCAUUUUCAACGAAAAUCACUUAGUAAAAAUCGUUCUCCUAACCUCGUGCACCCUUAUUCUAUCAUUAAACAUCAAAAUGCACAAAUAUCUAGCAUGGGUCAAUUUUUAAACUUCAUUUUUCGUGCAAAUAAAUAGUAAAAAUAGAAAGAUUAAGCUUCUAGGAUCUGAAAAAUACGAAGAACAUUAAAAACGGGGCUCCAAUGCACUUACAAUUGAACUUUGAAAAAGCUUGAAACCCUAGCCAUGGCUUGCUGAAAGUUUCGGCAGCAUGGAGAAGAGAAUGAGCAGAUUUUUGGGUUUCAAUUUUGUCUUUUAUGCCUUAAAACACCCAAGUGACAAAAAUGCCCUUUUUAAUAUACCUUCAAUUUUUACCCUUCCAUGACUAGUUUUGUCCAUAACAAAAUAUGAUGGUCUAUUUGUCAUUUAAAGACCUCUAAUUUAAACCCCCAUUUAAAACAAGUACUUAUGUUCUAGAACUCAUAUUUUGCAAUUAAUACAAUUGGAUCCCAAUAAUAAAAUUGGGCACUUUAUCAAUAAAAUUUCUUAACAAAAUUUGCACACCAUCACCCAAACAUAUCAUAGACUCUAAAAUAAUUAUAAAUUAAAUAUUUCCACUUCGAGUUUUUGGUCUUGAAACUACUGUUCCGGCUAGGCCCUAUUUUGGGCUGUUACAAUCCUCCCCUCUUAGGGAUUUUCGUCCCCGAAAAUCUUAUCAAAAGAUAAACUUAGGAUUUAUUUCGCAAAACACUGCCAAAUUCUCAGACAGCUUCGGCACCUCACUUCUUAAACUAAGAUCCUGAACUGUACUUUCUUAUCCUGGACAGAAGACCCACAUCACUGAAUUUUCUCAAGUUCUAAUGAAAUACACACUGAUAAGUAACUGGCCUCAUCCUAUCAAUAGUCUUAUACUCUUCGAUGAACCGUAACUCACUUUUCUUUACUUACCAAAUAAAAAAAAAUUUCUAUCACUAGCAUACUUUCAGAAGCACCUGUCACUUAUCUAAGUUUUAAUACUCUUACCUUUCGAUUCUGUAUUUGUCUCGAAAUAACAAAUAAAUGGCCAGUUUCCUACUUGGAGUUCUAAAUCAAAAGUUAGUUCCUAUUGAACACUUCUAGCUUACUAUUUACUGACAAAAUUCUAAGUUUCACAAAAUCAUGGAAUAAGCAUCAUUAUUUCUGAAUAAUAAUAAAUUUCUAAUUCACAUCAUAAGAUUCUUUUCAUGCAGUAUUAACUGAGUGCUAGCAUAAGCUACUAUUUUCACGUUCUUGUAUCAAAAUACACUUUAAACCAAUAAACUAUUCAGACUGAAUAAUUGAAUUGGUCUUGAAUGUUUCACAGUACCCUUCUAAAGGAACCAUUUUCAUCUGGUUGCCAUGAUAUCUCAGACAUGUAUCCUAUUGCAAUUCUUUCUGGAUACAAAUCAAUGAUCCUUAAAUGAACUAUAUAGUUUCAAUGAUACUUAACAAUCUCGUUUUAACUCUUUGAGAUAUAUCAAAUUACUCAGAAAUAACAACCAUAGUGCGGAUUCCAGCUCAAUCCUUCACUGUUUACUCUUUUAUCAAUGUUGAUUCCUUUCCCAAAAUCUAAAGAUAGAUCACAUCUAAUAAAAUUUAUUUUACUAUUAAUUCUCAAAAUACUGAACCACAUUGGAAUUGCAUUUCUUUGACUAUUGAAAUCGUAGCGCCAUUUCAAGUCUAACAUCUUAGUCACACCAAUAAACAAUAUUUUAACCAAUGUAAAAGCACAAUCUUUACACAUCUGACAACAGUAACAUUAAACAUUCACUAUCAAACUAGAUUUUAUAAUCACAAAAGUAUGAUUACUUCCAAUAAUGAAAUAUCUCUUGCACAAUUCACAAAAUAAAGUCGAUAAGAAAUCUAAGAUAAAGAUAUCCAAGAUUCGAUACUAUACUAGAAGCCUGAGAAUAUAGCUCAUAAGAGAAAUAAUAUUGACUUCAACAAUUCUCAGAAAAUUUCCAGCAGGAAAAUAAUAUUUAUAAGCAUUGAACAAUAACAGAAGCAACAUAGUCUUCAUAUACACAUUUCACAGAAUAACAAUCAGUGGAAACUGAAUUUCAACAUCAUAUGAACUUUACUGUCACUUUUCUAUCAACUCAUUUUAAUAGAAUACCAGAAAAGAUAGAAUAAUACCGAUCACAGCCCAGACAGAUUAACACUACUUUCAUUUAUCACUGAAAUCAACUAGCAUUCUCAUAUGACAAGAACCCCUAACGAGUCGAUUAGUCAACAUUAACUUUUUUCCUUAACUGUAACAUUGCGAAACUCGGAUAAUUUUCAUAAUAACCCGGCAUUUCUUCUGUGACUGUAUUAAUUGUCAAAUCAUUUUUUUAAACUUCAAUCACAUUUUCAAUCAACCUGUCCUUGAACUCUUUGACCUCUCACUUAUGAACACAUUUGACAUGAAUCUCAUGAAAUCAAUUAUGAUUUACCUCAUUAGCAAGGGGGUGAGGUUGUAAAGCCUCUAACUUACUCUCAUAAAUACAUAUAUAUAUAAGACUUAACAUUCAUCAUCAAUGUAAUAUCAUCAUAACCACUUAGUUCAUUCAUAUAUUUUCUCACAUAUAGGGGUCACACGCCCGUGUGUCUACCCGUAUGGAAAAAAAAUCGGGCUAUUUUUCCAAGCUUUAUUUCUCACUCAUUUGAUCUUUUAACUUCACUACUUGUUCACUUUAUAGCCAUAUCAAUAAUCAUCAUUUUCUUGUAUUUCAGAUAAAUACAUAUAACCAUACAUAAGCAUGCAGAUCACUAUUUCUUCUUGUCAAUCACAAUUUCAAAUGACAGAUUUAUGUAAAUGAGCUCAAUAUCAUUAUUUGUUUAACUUCUGUCACUUAAAUUCACAUACACAUAAUUUAUUAACAUAACUUGUCAAACAUAAUCUCUGAAUGGUGAGAUCGCAUAAUUGAGCUCAAUUUCACUGUUCAAUAUGUUUUAUCACAUAAAAUUUACUUAACACUUACCACAAUUUGUCAAAUUAGAGAACGUCUUACGGAAUUGAGUACUUCGUUUUCUCGAUGUCGUAGUCCAACUGUGGUCUUACACAUAAUCACUUAUCACAUACCGAUGCCAUAGCCCAGCUAUGGUCUUAUACGGAAUCACAUAUCACUUACCGAUGCCAUGGUCAAACCAUGGUAUUUUCCGUCAAUUUAUCACAUAUUACUAAACGAAAGUACUCAUUCCUGCGUUCUACUCAAUUUGAUCUUCCAAUUCAAUUUUCAUACCAUUAUAAUAUUCAUGAUUCAAUAAUAAAUACACAAAACAAAAUAUCAUAUUACCUCUAAUUUAACAAUUAAGCAUAAGAUUCUGUCAUAUGAACGUACCAAUUUCACUUAUUCAAGCAAAUAUACAUAAACACACAUUCCAUCUGUUUAAGAAAAUUUUGUUUCCAUAUUCACUUAACUAAAUAUAUUGAGCACAUAACAUCAUAUGAUCACUAACAUACUUGGAUGAGCUUAUCACAACAUAAACUUUCAUUUUUUUUUACAUGAACACAUACAUAUCACAAAUUUCUAUUCUUACCUUUCCAAGUUCUAACAUAACGUGAGCAUAUUUCAUUUAUCUCAAUAUCAUUUUCAGCAUUAUCGAAAAUAGCUCGAUUGAAAAUCAUCUCUGUCUUAACAAAACAAUUUCGUUAGAACCCGGAGAUAUCACACCAUCACGAGUAAUAACAUGGCAUGUAUAGCUAGACUCACAUAUGCUACGUUCGGUCCGAGAAUCGACUAAACCGUAGCGCUGAACCACUAAAUGUAACACCCCUUACCCGUAUCCAAUACCGGAACAGGGUACGAGGCGUUACCGAAAUUAAAAUUUCUUGAACAUAUAAAACCGGGUUAUAAAAUUUCGUCAACAUGUAUCACACUAUAAUUGGACAUCCGAAUAUCCAAUUUUACAUUCACAUUCCCAUGCAAAUCGUCAUUCAAGAAAUCAUUUGUAAACGACCUCCACAACAUUCAAUUAUGCAAUUACCACAUACAUGAAUAACCAUAUCAUAGGCGUAUUGGCCAUCUCCAAAUAGCCUUAAUCAAAAAGAACAUUUAUUAAAUAAAGGUCAACAUUUUAGGCCAUAAGAAAUAUGACAUAUAUGACAAAACGACCAAACCUACUAUACAUGUCGUAACCCAAAAAUUUAUGUAUCUAGAUAUACCAAGUGUUCUAAUUGAUAGUGUGAGCAAAUCUCCGACGUCCACCGAUUCCCGAGCUAACUUGGCGAUACUAUAAGGCAAAGGAAAAGAGAGGGGAAGUAAGCAUAAAUGCUUAGUAAGUUCAUAUGAAAAUAAUAAGAAAUUAUUAAACUUGUGUGGACAAAUCCUCGCAAUAAUUUCUUAUGAUGAUAUAAUCAUUAUAUCACAUGCUUACACUUUAUUACUAAUAUUCACAUUAAUCUGUCUACUUGAGUCACUGUUACUAAAUUAUUUAUUUCUCGAGCUACAGAACUCCAAAUGAAGAACCGUAAAUUUUCCCUGAAACUAGACUCACAUAAUUUCUUAUUAUAGGAAUUUCAUAAUUUUUGGUCUAGCCAAUUAAUACAGUUUAUUCAUUAAAUUUACCCCUGUUUCGCUGUCCAACAGUUCUGACACUUCUUUACAACGAAUCAAUUUUAUCCUCGUACAAAAUUCAUAUGAUGUUCUCGUUUAUUUCACUUGAAAAUAGACAUAAUAAGGAUUUCAAACAUAUAAAGUAUACUCCAUAUUUAUUUUUUAAAAUUUUUACUGAUUUUUCAAAGUUGGAACAGGGGAUUCCUAAACUCAUUCUGACCUUGUCUCACUAAAAUUCAAAUACCUCAUAAUUCAAACUUCUUUUGCUUACUCUGUUUCUUUUAUGGAAAAAUAGACCCAUUAAUCUUUAAUUUCAUAUCUCACCCAAACUUUAAUUCAAUUUCCACCAUUUUUGAUGAUUUUUCAAAGUUAUACUAAUGCUGCUGCCCACAACUGUUUUAAGGUCACUCAUUCAUUAAUUCUUGGUGUUCACUUUCAUUUAUAUACACUUACACCAAAGCAUAUUAUAUCUUGGCACACAACAAUCAAGUGAUCAUAAACACAUCUUACUCGUUUGCAUCCUUAUCAAUAAUGCAUCAUAAUCUGAGCACAUUAUUUAUGAAUCUCAUAUACAUACCUGUGCCUAGUCAUAAUACUCACAUAUCCUACUCUUACU
Molecule: long non-coding RNA, 6760 nt
Filed under: Gossypium raimondii (Peruvian cotton)
Lineage: Eukaryota; Viridiplantae; Streptophyta; Magnoliopsida; Malvales; Malvaceae
Description: long non-coding RNA (GRAI_LNC004298)
Source: RNAcentral